UACGGAGGGUGCAAGCGUUAUCCGGAUUCACUGGGUUUAAAGGGUGCGUAGGCGGAUAUGUAAGUCCGUGGGGAAAUCUCUGGGCUUAACCCGGAAACUGCCAUGGAUACUAUGUGUCUUGAAUGUUGUUGAGGUGAGCGGAAUAUGUCAUGUAGCGGUGAAAUGCUUAGAUAUGACAUAGAACACCAAUUGCGAAGGCAGCUCACUAAGCAAAUAUUGACGCUGAGGCACGAAAGCGUGGGGAUCAAACAGG
RNAcentral lists this ribosomal RNA (253 nucleotides) under uncultured bacterium. Its description in RNAcentral is "partial 16S ribosomal RNA". It matches the Rfam family "Bacterial small subunit ribosomal RNA", at positions 524 to 776 of the family's 1533-position model. The record is from RNAcentral.